This 686-nucleotide ribosomal RNA is filed under the name Asaia sp. 12F. RNAcentral describes it as "bacterial SSU rRNA". It matches the Rfam family "Bacterial small subunit ribosomal RNA", at positions 55 to 786 of the family's 1533-position model. The record is from RNAcentral. Lineage: Bacteria; Pseudomonadati; Pseudomonadota; Alphaproteobacteria; Acetobacterales; Acetobacteraceae.
AUGCAGUCGCACGGACCCUUCGGGGUGAGUGGCGGACGGGUGAGUAUCGCGUAGGGAUCUAUCCACGGGUGGGGGAUAACAUCGGGAAACUGAUGCUAAUACCGCAUGAUACCUGAGGGUCAAAGGCGCAAGUCGCCUGUGGAGGAACCUGCGUUCGAUUAGCUUGUUGGUGGGGUAAAGGCCUACCAAGGCGAUGAUCGAUAGCUGGUCUGAGAGGAUGAUCAGCCACACUGGGACUGAGACACGGCCCAGACUCCUACGGGAGGCAGCAGUGGGGAAUAUUGGACAAUGGGCGAAAGCCUGAUCCAGCAAUGCCGCGUGUGUGAAGAAGGUCUUCGGAUUGUAAAGCACUUUCGACGGGGACGAUGAUGACGGUACCCGUAGAAGAAGCCCCGGCUAACUUCGUGCCAGCAGCCGCGGUAAUACGAAGGGGGCUAGCGUUGCUCGGAAUGACUGGGCGUAAAGGGCGCGUAGGCGGUUUACACAGUCAGAUGUGAAAUUCCAGGGCUUAACCUUGGGGCUGCAUUUGAUACGUGUAGACUAGAGUGUGAGAGAGGGUUGUGGAAUUCCCAGUGUAGAGGUGAAAUUCGUAGAUAUUGGGAAGAACACCGGUGGCGAAGGCGGCAACCUGGCUCAUUACUGACGCUGAGGCGCGAAAGCGUGGGGAGCAAACAGGAUUAGAUACC